AACGAACGCUGGCGGCAUGCCUAACACAUGCAAGUCGAACGAGACCUUCGGGUCUAGUGGCGCACGGGUGCGUAACGCGUGGGAACCUGCCCUUAGGUUCGGAAUAACUCCCCGAAAGGGGUGCUAAUACCGGAUAAUGUCUUCGGACCAAAGAUUUAUCGCCUUUGGAUGGGCCCGCGUUGGAUUAGCUAGUUGGUAGGGUAAAAGCCUACCAAGGCGACGAUCCAUAGCUGGUCGGAGAGGAUGAUCAGCCACACUGGGACUGAGACACGGCCCAGACUCCUACGGGAGGCAGCAGUGUGGAAUAUUGGACGAUGGGCGAAAGCCUGAUCCAGCAAUGCCGCGUGAGUGAUGAAGGCCUUAGGAUUGUAAAGCUCUUUUACCCGAGAUGAUAAUGACAGUACCGGGAGAAUAAGCUCCGGCUAACUCCGUG
This 433-nucleotide ribosomal RNA is filed under the name uncultured bacterium. RNAcentral's name for it is "partial 16S ribosomal RNA". It matches the Rfam family "Bacterial small subunit ribosomal RNA", at positions 29 to 507 of the family's 1533-position model. The record is from RNAcentral.